CCGCCGGUGGAAGAAGCGCCGCCUCAAGCAAAUGGGGGAACUGAAGGGUCCCGUUACACCCGCCCAUCGCUCAUGAAACCGGCCUAUCCGCAUCCCGAGCGUCUCAUCAGUGAUGGGAUCACUGACCAACGGGUUUGAUCCGAGGCUUCAGGCGGGCCAAUAGAAGGCCAUGUCUGCCCCUCCUGCUUUACUGCAGAAUUCCGAGGCUUGCAGCCAGCAGCAUCGCGAGUCUCUAGGCUGAAAUUUUGUAUAAAUGGACGCACAAGGUGGAGAGCCUGCUUUACACUGUAAUGAGAACAGCCACAUCUGUGCACCGUGUCCCACUGCCUGCAUCUGCAUCUGCAGUGCAGGACUAAUGGCUCUGAUUGGAGGAGAGAGAAAGACACACCCCUGUUUGAUUGGUCAAGAGCUGGGACUCAGCAUAACGUGACAGGAGUAAGAGGAGAACCAUGUGGCUGAGUUUGGUAAAAAUUACUGCUCUUUCUGUUGGAACAAGCAAUAAAAAAUACAAAUAAAAAGGGAAAUGAAGAGAAAAAGGAAUUAGAAAAGGCAUGACGUAAAAAUAUCUGUCUGGUGUUACAUGAAAGUAGGUACAGGACAUUGCAGAUCAGCAGAGGAGGGACUUGAAGAAUGUGUAAUGUAACAGCCACCUCUCCUUGUCUCCGUGUCACGCUAUCCUCUUACACACAUUUCAUCACAGGAAGGAUAUUAUCCCACACAAGUCAACGGCCCGCUGAAGAUAAAACCCACAGUAUCAAUGUAUUUACACUUCUGGAUGAAACAUAAUUUGUGGGUAAGAUGUGAACAUAGAGAGAUUCCAACUACAGGACACAGACUCAUUUUAAAGGGCAUGUUUGACACCCCAUCCCUUUAAAUGAGAAAAUGCGGAGACAGUUAAAGAGAAUCACUCUGCAGGUAACGAAGAAUGAUGUAACCUGAGCUGAACACAUUAAAUAUUAAUGCUCAUUUUAAACCAGCUGGCAUCACGACUGCCCCAGGGAAACAAACUGCAAAUGUCACACCACCACAUGUGCCUGUGUACAUGCCAACACAUUCAACAAUAAGAAGAGUGCAAUAGGCCACACUGAUCCUCAUAUUCUCCCUGUGAUAUCACUGACUGUUUUUUAUUUACGGUUUCACAGAUAUAUCAGCAUUCAUCUCUAUUGUAAUUACAAUAACCUUAGUUCAUUCAAAGUUAAUCCAAGUACUUUAGGUAUUGAUAGCAAAAGUGGAUAGAUAUUCUUUUUCAAAAGUUUUUACAGACUAGUACAUAGGAAUUAUAGUAAUUGCCACUUGCAACCACUGUGGUACUGGUUAACAAAAUUUACAUUUACUUAACCCUUAUUUUCUGUUUAUUAAUUCCCAAUUUUCAGCCUGCAUACAUGAGUUUACAGAGUUUAAUAUUAUACAGACAUUUAUAUCAUGCUUUUUAUACAUCUAAUAUUAUUCCUAAUUCAUCAACAGUACUAAAAGAAUUAGACUACUACCCCUGCUACUGCAAUCUCAGAAAUAAUCAUAGUGCAAACACAGUUCCAAAUGGAAAAGGACAAAUCUUUUAAUCCUGCGCAUAAAAUGCAAAACUUUAUGACCACCAUUAAGAGAAAACAUUUCCCAGCACUGAUCUAGCUUUAGAACAUGUGGACUGUAAAGUGCUGUGCUGUUGAAUGAACCUGUAAAACCAUUAUCUGACUAGUCUGGUCCCUGGAUGACUCUGUUUAUUCUGGGUGCUUGUUUUCGUCAAAGUAUGUUAAUUGUGAAGUUGUAGCGCUGUGUUGUGCUGCCAAGAUGGUUCAGUAAAAACACGGUGCCACAGUAAGAGGCCUGUUAUAAUUGCUGAUACAGUGUGUGCCAGAAAGAUAGUUUGGUCUCUCAACAUUGUGACACCUUCAGUCUAGUGGUAGAUAUUUAUAGCGUUAUUAUAUGCAAGUACUUUCAAAUGUGUUGUGAAUGUGUCUGAAUAAAAGUUUGCAACUCUAAAUAAAUGUUG
Long non-coding RNA from Sphaeramia orbicularis (orbiculate cardinalfish), 1987 nucleotides. RefSeq lists it as uncharacterized. The transcript is spliced from 2 exons. The record is from RefSeq and is a predicted model, not a curated record. Lineage: Eukaryota; Metazoa; Chordata; Actinopteri; Kurtiformes; Apogonidae.